AAUAGAUACCCCGGUAGUCCACGCCCUAAACGAUGCUCACUAGGUGUUGGGGAAGCGAUUCCUUGGUACCGUAGCUAACGCGUGAAGUGAGCCGCCUGGGGAGUACGGCCGCAAGGUUAAAACUCAAAGGAAUUGACGGGGACCCGCACAAGCGGUGGAUGAUGUGGAUUAAUUCGAUGCAACGCGAACAACCUUACCUACCCUUGACAUGUCCGGAAGCCUGCUGAAAGGUGGGUGUGCUCGAAAGAGAACCGGAACACAGGUGCUGCAUGGCUGUCGUCAGCUCGUGUCGUGAGAUGUUGGGUUAAGUCCCGCAACGAGCGCAACCCUUGUCCCUAGUUGCUACGCAAGGGCACUCUAGGGAGACUGCCGGUGACAAACCGGAGGAAGGUGGGGAUGACGUCAAGUCCUCAUGGCCCUUAUGGGUAGGGCUUCACACGUCAUACAAUGGACGGUACAGAGGGUUGCCAAACCCGGCGAGGGGGGGUAGCCCGAAAUCCCCGAGAAAGCCGUUCGUAGUCCGGAUCGCAGUCUGCAACUCGACUGCGUG
Molecule: ribosomal RNA, 550 nt
Filed under: uncultured bacterium
Lineage: Bacteria
Description: bacterial SSU rRNA
Rfam family: Bacterial small subunit ribosomal RNA
Source: RNAcentral